GAUGAACGCUGGCGGCGUGCCUAAUACAUGCAAGUCGAGCGAACGGACGAGAAGCUUGCUUUUCUGAUGUUAGCGGCGGACGGGUGAGUAACACGUGGAUAACCUACCUAUAAGACUGGGAUAACUUCGGGAAACCGGAGCUAAUACCGGAUAAUAUUUUGAACCGCAUGGUUCAAAAGUGAAAGACGGUCUUGCUGUCACUUAUAGAUGGAUCCGCGCUGCAUUAGCUAGUUGGUAAGGUAACGGCUUACCAAGGCAACGAUGCAUAGCCGACCUGAGAGGGUGAUCGGCCACACUGGAACUGAGACACGGUCCAGACUACUACGGGAGGCAGCAGUAGGGAAGCUUACGCAAUGGGCGAAAGCCUGACGGAGCAACGCCGCGUGAGUGAUGAAGGUCUGCGGAUCGUAAAACUCUGUUAUUAGGGAAGAACAGAUGUGUAAGUAACUGUGCACAGCUUGACGGUACCUAAUCAGAAAGCCACGGCUAACUACGUG
RNAcentral lists this ribosomal RNA (497 nucleotides) under uncultured bacterium. Its description in RNAcentral is "partial 16S ribosomal RNA". It matches the Rfam family "Bacterial small subunit ribosomal RNA", at positions 28 to 507 of the family's 1533-position model. The record is from RNAcentral.